CCGCUUUGAGUAUAUCUUGGACAUGAUUGGUCGUCUUGUGCAACAAAGGGAUUCUCCUGUACAGAACCAUGCCCAAUUGGAAGCUGCUUUACAUGAGAAAUGGCGUAGACUGUCCCUUCAGAGGAUCAGGAGGCUGACAGGGGGUAUGAGGAGGAGAGUGCUGGCUGUCAUACAGUCACAUGGUGGUUACACUUGGUAUUGACAUUGAAUCGUGUAAGGCACGCAAAAUGACAUUUUGAAUGUUCACAUUCACCAAUGAAUUCAACAUUAAACAUUCCAGGGCCAUACUUGUACAGAUAUGGUUUUGUAUGAAAA
Molecule: long non-coding RNA, 315 nt
Organism: Haliotis rubra (blacklip abalone)
Lineage: Eukaryota; Metazoa; Mollusca; Gastropoda; Lepetellida; Haliotidae
Exons: 3
Source: RefSeq, a predicted model, not a curated record